Molecule: long non-coding RNA, 263 nt
Filed under: Citrus sinensis (sweet orange)
Lineage: Eukaryota; Viridiplantae; Streptophyta; Magnoliopsida; Sapindales; Rutaceae
Description: long non-coding RNA (CSIN_LNC001704)
Source: RNAcentral
CUUUUUUUCUUCCUGGUCCAAUAUUUUUUCUCGAAAGUCUUCGUUUCCGUGUUGGAAUAUACACUUAUUAUAUUAGUUUAUAUUAGUAGACGAGAUUUUACGAAAUGAGAAAAAGAAGUUAGCGGAUUAUGAUGCCCUAUUAGAUAGCCCAUGCCUUGCAAACGAUUAUUUCUAAUUAGACUGUGACAGCUGCUUUGCUGAUAAAUUCAAACCUUGUUGAGCCACGCCAAACAAAGGGAUCGUACUCACUAAUGGAUCGCCUG